AUUCCUCUCAAAGUGCUGGGAUUACAGGCAUGAGCCACUGUCCCCGGUCAAUUCUGGUUUCUUUAAAGUGGGGCAAGGACCUUGCAGACAUUUGUAUAGCAACUGGAGUGCAGAAUCCCUCUAGAUUCUUGUGGUUAUUUUUUUUUCCAGAUGUUUUGUAGUUGGUUCUUCCACACCUAAUUUGACAGUAUUCUUUUUAGCAACGAGUCUUCAUUGAGUUUUCAGAAAAACAAAUCUCUUCCUUUUGCACUCAUAUUUCAUCAGUUUAUGGAAUAUCUAAUUCAGUUACAUUGUUACAAUAUUAAGUGUGCCUUCUGCAAACUGAUUUGGGAACACACCCAGCGGACUGUUGGCAAGCAUGCCCUUCUACAGCCAAGAGCCCCAGGGGGCUAGAGAAUGGCUUACUAGCCAUAAGCAUUCAAUGUGCCUGAGGCAGUAGCGUUGCAUUCAGACAGCAUGGAGAGCACUGGUUAGCCUGGCAAGCUGGUUAAACAGAUUAGUAAAAGGACUUUGUGCACUAACUCUGGAAAAGACUUCAUAGUGUGGAAUUGUCUCCGGAAGACAUUUGCCCCACUGGAGACUACAUUUCCCAGCAUCCCUGGCAUCUAGGUAUGACCAUGUGACUAGUCUCCACCAAUGGAAUGUGAACAGGAGUGGUGAGUGUCACUUCCAGGCAGGGCCUUGAGGAAGCAGGUGAGCUUCUCCAUCCCUGUCUGUCUAGAUACAGAGAACCCCAAAGCCCUGCAGGAUGGCAAAGCUGCAACAUGGAAGUCACCCGGAUCACCACGUAAAGGAAAUCUGCUCUCCAACCAGGAACAAGCACCUGCCUUGCAAUAUUAGCUCCUUCCCAGGGCUUCGUGCAUAUGCAUAUCUCCUUCCAGAAUCCUGGUCAAUACUAAGGCCUUACUGGAUGCAGAUGAUUGGGAGAAGGAGAGAGGAAGAAGAGUCCUAGAAGAAGGAGCCUGAAUUCCUGGAUCAUCAUGUGGGGGAGCCCACCAAGCAGAAGCACCCACUGGGAAUGUUAUGUAACACAAAUAGACUUUGUGCUUUGGCUAGUAAGCACUUUGGCAGUGACGUUCCAAUGACACUGGUGGUAGUGGAAGUGGAUGCAGGUGAUAAAGGGGUACACUGUCUGUAGAGAAUUUUAAAACAGUAAUGAAAAGGUCUAAAAGUCAAUCUGCUUUUUAUUGUCACCACAUGCCAGCAAUUCUAAAUAAUGCCAGUGUUAAAAUAUUCCUUCUUACCAGGGAGAAAACUCCCACUGUCAGAGGCGUUUGAACCAGAGUGAUUCCAUCUUGAAUAGGGGCUGGGUAAAAUGAGGCUGAGACCUGCUGGGCUGCAUUCCCAGAUGGUUAAGGCAUUCUAAGUCACAGGAUGAGAUAGGAGGUUGGCACAAGAUACAGGUCAUAAAGACCUUGCUGAUAAAACAGGCUGCAAUAAAGAAGCCAGCUAAAACCCGCCAAAACCAAGAUGGCUUCGAGAGUGACCACUGGUUGUCCUCACUGCUACACUCUCACCAGUGCCAUGACAGUUUACAAAUGCCAUGGCAACAUCAGAAAGUUACCCUAUAUGGUCUAAAAAUGGGAGGCAUGAAUAAUCCACUCGUUUGGCAUAUAAUCAAGAAAUAACCAUAAAAAUAGGUAACCAGCAGCCCUCGGGGCUGCUCUAUGGAUCAUUUUCCCUUUACUUUCUUAACAAAUUCACUUCCAUUUUAUGGGCUCGCCCUGAGUUCUUUCUUAUGCAAGUUCUAAGAACCCUCUCUUGGGGUCUGGAUUGGGACCCCCUUCCUGUAACAUCACCACCUCCCCUGGUCCCUUGGUAUGCCACUGAAUUUGGGGUUUAUUUAUUACUGGGAUCUGGUUUACCCUAGCUAAUAAAGACAGGCAUAAAGGUAUAAAUAGCAAUGACGAACAUCCAUAUGUACACCAUGUUUUUUAAGGAGAAAAACAUUACAAAUAUGACUGUUGACAUGAACAUUUAAAAUAAAUUUAGAUUUCUCUGGCGACUGCAGUCUGAUACUUAAGCAAUCUGCCUGGCGUGGGGAAAAGACUCAGGGAGACUUUGCAUUCCACAGAUGCCACAUCAGCCAUCUGGAGUAAGCAGCGCGGCACCAGGUUCUGCCACCAGCUUCUGAUUUAGCCGGCUUCUUUAUUGCAACCUGUCUUACCAGUACGGUCUUUGUGAUCUGUAUCUUGCGCUGACCUCCUAUCUCAUCCUGUGACUUAGAAUCCUGUGACUUAGAGCAGCCGUUCUUUAUUCCUUUACUUUCUUAAUAAACUCACUUUCACUUUA
Molecule: long non-coding RNA, 2292 nt
Organism: Macaca mulatta (Rhesus monkey)
Lineage: Eukaryota; Metazoa; Chordata; Mammalia; Primates; Cercopithecidae
Source: RefSeq, a predicted model, not a curated record